UGUUCCUCAUGUCUGAGGGUCGUGACCAC
This 29-nucleotide small RNA is filed under the name Bombyx mori (domestic silkworm). RNAcentral's name for it is "ovarian small RNA-9179". The record is from RNAcentral. Lineage: Eukaryota; Metazoa; Arthropoda; Insecta; Lepidoptera; Bombycidae.